AAGAAGGGGCAGAACAAUGGGUACCUCUGUCACAGCUCUUGUUUGUCGCUGGGGCGGCCAGUCCAGCGCAGCCCUUGCCUUGCACCCCAGCCCGUCUUAGCCAGCGCCGUGUGUCAUCCCACAGUUUAGUUUAACGUGGGUUUUUGCCAUUUUUUUUUUCCUUUUGGCUGGAGCAGCCUCAGCCUGACUCACUGAAUUUCCGUCUCUUCCCACAGAUUUUUUUAUUAAUGCGUUUUCCAGUCACCGGCAAAAAUUAAGGGGAGAAAACCGUAAAUACGAUUCGGUCGCGGCGGGCAGGGGAAGAAAAGAAAAAAAAAACGUAUUUAAAGCAUACUUCACUCCCCCUCCUUCACGCCUCCCAGCAAGGAGCGUGAGACGAGGGUCCGGUCCCUGCCAGAAAUGAGCGACCUGGCGAGCCUCUGGCGUGCAGUUCUCCCUUUCAUUCAAACGGGAGCGAUCAGCAGAGAAGAAAACGCGCUUUUCCUUUUUCCGGGAAAAGCUGCAAGCUUCCAGAGGAGCCGAGGAAAGGAGACAAUACCCGCCUGUGCAGCUCCCCCGCUUCCCCCCUCCCUCGCAAAAAUAAGCAGCAGCGGAACACAUCAUGCAACACUCGGGGCUCUUUUCUGCCCCACUUCUGCAAACGCCGCAGAGGGAAAGAGCAGAGCGGGGAAUAAAAGGAGGGGAAGCCAAGAAAGAAAAGUGUCAAGGCAGGAGGACUCUCCUGCACGUCGGGUCUCUCGGUGGGAAGGAUGGAUUACCUUGUCCAGUGCCAGUUGUGUCCAGGCUUUUUGUUUCCCCCUGUCUUUAGUCCAACCACGGGGAGGGGGGCUGGGGUUGGGGGAAAUCAAAAUGAUAUCCAAAGUUAUCCUGCACCCGCCCCUUCCAAAGGGGAAAUGCAAUAAUGCCACUAGUGUUUCUACUCGGCUGCGGCAGAGAUGCCUUAUUAAUACUUUAUUUCUGCGAGCCCGAAGCUGGCAGGAGAGAGCUACAGAUCCCCCUUGCCCCUCCCUCCCCUCCCUCCCCCUCCUCCGAAAUUAGCCUCAUCAAUUCAGCUACAAUUUUGCAGUUCAGAUGCAGACACGGGGCUGAACGUGACCAGACCUGGAGGUUUUGGGCUCGCUGCUUGCCAGCGAUUGAGGCCGCCCGCAGCCGGGAGGUGAAGGGGGGGAGCGGAGGGACAGCCCGGCCGCCUCCCCUCUCCCCAUCCCCCGGCCCCCCCUGUCUGCUCCACAGUCCAGGGGUCUGCGCCGGGGUCCCCGGAGAGCUGCACAUCUGGAUGCUGCUAGCGGGGUCAGGUCCCCCCUUGCCUAGGGCCACAAGAACUGGAGUUCAAUUAAAAGAAAUCACGGUUAA
Long non-coding RNA from Pseudopipra pipra, 1353 nucleotides. RefSeq lists it as uncharacterized. The record is from RefSeq and is a predicted model, not a curated record. Lineage: Eukaryota; Metazoa; Chordata; Aves; Passeriformes; Pipridae. The transcript has 2 exons.